RNAcentral lists this transfer-messenger RNA (386 nucleotides) under Helicobacter pylori. It matches the Rfam family "transfer-messenger RNA". From Rfam's summary of the family: Bacterial tmRNA, also known as 10Sa RNA or SsrA, is named for its dual tRNA and mRNA-like properties. RNAcentral also lists the same sequence under 1 other name. The record is from RNAcentral. Lineage: Bacteria; Pseudomonadati; Campylobacterota; Epsilonproteobacteria; Campylobacterales; Helicobacteraceae.
GGGGCUGACUUGGAUUUCGACAGAUUUCUUGUCGCACAGAUAGCAUGCCAAGUGCUACUUGUAAAACAGCAACAAAAAUAACUGUAAACAACACAGAUUACGCUCCAGCUUACGCUAAAGCUGCGUGAGUUAAUCUCCUUUUGGAGCUGGACUGAUUAGAAUUUCUAGCGUUUUAAUCACUCCAUAACCUUAAGCUAGACGCUUUUAAAAGGUGGUUCGCCUUUUAAACUAAGAAACAAGAACUCUUAAAACUACCUCAAGGUUUUAGAAAGUUGGACCAGAGCUAGUUUUAAGGCUAAAAAACUAACCAAUUUUCUAAGCAUUGUAGAAGUUUGUGUUUAGGACAAGAUUUUUGGACUGGGGUUCGAUUCCCCACAGCUCCACCA